Molecule: microRNA precursor, 67 nt
Filed under: Bombyx mori (domestic silkworm)
Lineage: Eukaryota; Metazoa; Arthropoda; Insecta; Lepidoptera; Bombycidae
Description: mir-2774 microRNA precursor family
Rfam family: mir-2774 microRNA precursor family
Source: Rfam by way of RNAcentral
UUAACAUCCAGACUGACAGUCUACCGAGCAAUUUCACCCGCUCAGUGGAAGAUCUUCCCUUUGUCCU